RNAcentral lists this ribosomal RNA (805 nucleotides) under uncultured bacterium. RNAcentral describes it as "bacterial SSU rRNA". It matches the Rfam family "Bacterial small subunit ribosomal RNA", at positions 8 to 813 of the family's 1533-position model. The record is from RNAcentral.
AGAGUUUGAUCCUGGCUCAGGAUGAACGCUGGCGGUGUGCUUAACACAUGCAAGUCGAGCGAAGCAGUUAAGAAGAUUCUUCGGAUGAUUUUUAACUGACUGAGCGGCGGACGGGUGAGUAACGCGUGGGUGACCUGCCCCAUACCGGGGGAUAACAGCUGGAAACGGCUGCUAAUACCGCAUAAGCGCACAGAGCUGCAUGGCUCGGUGUGAAAAACUCCGGUGGUAUGGGAUGGGCCCGCGUCUGAUUAGGGUAGUUGGCGGGGUAACGGCCCACCAAACCGACGAUCAGUAGCCGGCCUGAGAGGGCGACCGGCCACAUUGGGACUGAGACACGGCCCAAACUCCUACGGGAGGCAGCAGUGGGGAAUAUUGCACAAUGGGGGAAACCCUGAUGCAGCGACGCCGCGUGAGCGAAGAAGUAUUUCGGUAUGUAAAGCUCUAUCAGCAGGGAAGAUAAUGACGGUACCUGACUAAGAAGCCCCGGCUAACUACGUGCCAGCAGCCGCGGUAAUACGUAGGGGGCAAGCGUUAUCCGGAUUUACUGGGUGUAAAGGGAGCGUAGACGGCAAGGCAAGUCUGAUGUGAAAACCCAGGGCUUAACCCUGGGACUGCAUUGGAAACUGUCUGGCUCGAGUGCCGGAGAGGUAAGCGGAAUUCCUAGUGUAGCGGUGAAAUGCGUAGAUAUUAGGAAGAACACCAGUGGCGAAGGCGGCUUACUGGACGGUAACUGACGUUGAGGCUCGAAAGCGUGGGGAGCAAAGCAGGAUUAGAUACCCUGGUAGUCCACGCCGUAAACGAUGAA